This 253-nucleotide ribosomal RNA is filed under the name uncultured prokaryote. Its description in RNAcentral is "partial 16S ribosomal RNA". It matches the Rfam family "Bacterial small subunit ribosomal RNA", at positions 524 to 776 of the family's 1533-position model. The record is from RNAcentral.
UACAGAGGUCUCAAGCGUUGUUCGGAUUCAUUGGGCGUAAAGGGCGCGUAGGCGGUGCGGUAAGUCACCUGUGAAACCUCUAGGCUCAACCUAGAGCCUGCAGGCGAAACUGCCGUGCUUGAGGGUGGGAGAGGUGCGUGGAAUUCCCGGUGUAGCGGUGAAAUGCGUAGAGAUCGGGAGGAAGGCCGGUGGCGAAGGCGGCGCUCUGGAACGUUUCUGACGCUGAGGCUCGAAAGCGUGGGGAGCAAACAGG